CAUGCUCGUGAGGGAAACAGCCCAGAUCGUCAGCUAAGGUCCCUAAGUGUAAACUAAGUGUGUAAGGAUGUGGAACUGCACAGACAGCUAGGAUGUUGGCUUAGAAGCAGCCAUCAUUUAAAGAGUGCGUAACAGCUCACUAGUCGAGUGAUUCUGCGCCGAAAAUGUACCGGGGCUUAAGUUUACCACCGAAGCUACGGAUUGUAUGUAAAUACAGUGGUAGGGGAGCGUUCUAAAUAUGAUGAAGUCAGACUGUGAAGACUGGUGGAGUGUUUAGAAGUGAUUAUGCCGGCAUGAGUAACGUUUGGAAGUGAGAAUCUUCCAUGCCGUUUGACCAAGGUUUCCUGGGCAAGGUUCGUCCACCCAGGGUUAGUCAGGACCUAAGGCGAGGCUGAAAAGCGUAGUCGAUGGACAACAGGUUGAUAUUCCUGUACCAGUUAAUUAGUGAUGGAGUGACGAAGAAGGAUAGUAUAUCCCGGGUGCUGGAUGUCCCGGGCUAAGCACAAAGAUGGCAAUGUUGGCAAAUCCGCAUUGUAUUAACAUUGAAGUGUGAAAAUAGGGGAGUGAACGGUUCGCCUAGUAACGAAGUAUAUGACUCCAUGCUUCCAAGAAAAGCUUCUAACUUAAUAAUUAACUGCCUGUACCUAGAACGAACACACGUGGUCAAGGAGAAAAUCCUAAGGCAAGCGAGAUAACUGUAGCUAAGGAACUCUGCAAAAUAACUCCGUAACUUCGGAAGAAGGAGUGCUUAUCUAUGAUAAGCCGCAGUGAAGAGGGAGGGGCAACUGUUUAACAAAAACACAGCUCUCUGCUAAGUCGCAAGACGAUGUAUAGGGGGUGACACCUGCCCAGUGCCGGAAGGUUAAAAGGAGAAGUCAGCGCAAGCGAAGCUUUGAAUUGAAGCCCCGGUGAACGGCGGCCGUAACUAUAACGGUCCUAAGGUAGCGAAAUUCCUUGUCAGGUAAAUUCUGACCCGCACGAAAGGUGUAAUGAUCCCUUCGCUGUCUCGGCUGCAGACUCGGUGAAAUUUUAGUACCGGUGAAGAUGCCGGUUACCCGCAACUAGACGGAAAGACCCCGUGGAGCUUUACUAUAACUUGAUAUUGAAAUUUGGUAUGACGUGUAGAGGAUAGGUGGGAGACUAUGAGACUAGGACGCUAGUUCUAGUGGAGUCAACCUUGGAAUACCACCCUCGUUAUAUUGGAUUUCUAACUU
RNAcentral lists this ribosomal RNA (1214 nucleotides) under Mycoplasma mycoides. RNAcentral describes it as "partial 23S ribosomal RNA". It matches the Rfam family "Bacterial large subunit ribosomal RNA", at positions 1006 to 2228 of the family's 2925-position model. The record is from RNAcentral. Lineage: Bacteria; Bacillati; Mycoplasmatota; Mollicutes; Mycoplasmatales; Mycoplasmataceae.